Molecule: long non-coding RNA, 1543 nt
Organism: Oncorhynchus tshawytscha (Chinook salmon)
Lineage: Eukaryota; Metazoa; Chordata; Actinopteri; Salmoniformes; Salmonidae
Exons: 3
Source: RefSeq, a predicted model, not a curated record
GAAACCGGAAGCUGCAAAGCAACUCUUCCAUCUGGGCUACAGUUGCUUGAUUGACUAGCUGACUUCGACUAGCUACGUUCAGGCAAUGCCCUUUGCAAAUGCCUUAUUACUGACAAAAGUACGCAUAACAAAAGAUCUGCAAACGAGUAAAGGGCGACGUAAAGUAAAAAAUUGAACGUGUAAAUGUUAAUUCAUAGUAGUAACAGAUCUAAUUUAACGUUUACGUUUAAUGUUUCAUGCAUGGGUUUUCUUACAAUCCUAACGAUACUUUACGUUCAACCUUUUGGCAGCUAUCUCGCUCCAUAUCUUUGGGACAUCCCUAACCCCUAUCUAACCUUAACCAUUUCAACUUCAGUGGGGGGUCGGGAUGUUCCAAGGAUUCCGGAUAGCACGGACAUUUUGAUUACACAAAGAGGUUGUUUCACCAGCCCAAAUUAAUUUAACUUUUUGGGAUUAUGAUCAAUUUGAUUUAUUGUACAUGGGUUAGUAGCUCUGGACUCUCUCACUAAAUCUAUUCAAAAUGUGGCAAUUUGCCAGGCUGAUGAGGAUGGGCAAGCCAGGCUGUCAUUGUAAUACGAAUGUGUUCUUAAACUGACUGGUCUAAUUAAAUUUAAAACAAAUACCUUGGAGCCCCCUGACAACUGCGAGUCGAGGACAUUUCUGUUUGCGACAUCAUAUCGACGUCUGCAACCAAGAAUAGCACUUGCCAAACACGCCAGCGUGUUUUCUUUCUUUUCUGAAGUCAUGGCGGGACCUUUAAACGCUAGAAGAGGACCAUGGAAAAAUAUAUUUCCUCAGGGAGAGACCUAUGCUCUCCUAAGGGAUGCAACACAUUUUGCCUGAUGUGGACCAUAAGUGAGCAUUGUUCAGGUGGUCGGGGAAUGGGAUUCCAGAGAUGGACUUUGCCAGGGUUGACAAAAUGUGGUGGGUCCACCCUCCACCACCAUCUGCAGCUCAGUAGAGAUGGAGAGGGGAGCUGAUAGGUUUUGAGUACCUCCUCGAUCAGACUGGUUUGGUGCUGCAGGAUCACAAGGCUGCCAUUGACGAACUAGAGACAGGUGAUCCCAAUGUCCAAGGGGAGGAUGAUGAGGGCUUUGUGGAGCUUGUGGAAUUUCAGGGCCUGACAGUUCCAGUGGUGGAGACAGCCCUGCCUCUUGUUGGCACCUUUCGUCCUACUCCCACUCCCUCUACCAGCAUCCAGUCCAGCUGCAUCAGUCAGUCCCCUGUCCUCCACUCCUGUACGGGCUACUCCACCACCUGGGCCUCUGUCCUCCACACUUGUGCUCGUCAGUCCCCUGUCCAACGUUCCUGUUUGGGCUAACAUUACUCCUUAGUCCAUGGACCAUAAAUGUUCUUUUUAAAGUGUGAUUUGGCUCUGGCAGUCAAAACAGCCAAAUACCCCAUCUAAAGGAUUGGGAUAGUGAAAUGUUUUGUUGUUUCGGCUCUGUACUCCAGCACUUUGGAUUUGCAAUGAUACAAAGUCAGCUUUAAUUUGAGGGUAUUUUCAUCCAUAUGUACUUUUUGUACAUAGUCCCCCCAUUUA